UCCAAGGUCGCUCAGUUGGUAAAGAAUCUGCCUGCAAUGCAGGAGACCUGGGUUCGAUUCCUGGGUUAGGAA
RNAcentral lists this transfer RNA (72 nucleotides) under Ovis aries (sheep). It matches the Rfam family "tRNA". Rfam says of the family: Transfer RNA (tRNA) molecules are approximately 80 nucleotides in length. Their secondary structure includes four short double-helical elements and three loops (D, anti-codon, and T loops). Further hydrogen bonds mediate the characteristic L-shaped molecular structure. tRNAs have two regions of fundamental functional importance: the anti-codon, which is responsible for specific mRNA codon recognition, and the 3' end, to which the tRNAs corresponding amino acid is attached (by aminoacyl-tRNA synthetases). tRNAs cope with the degeneracy of the genetic code in two manners: having more than one tRNA (with a specific anti-codon) for a particular amino acid; and 'wobble' base-pairing, i.e. permitting non-standard base-pairing at the 3rd anti-codon position. The record is from Rfam by way of RNAcentral. Lineage: Eukaryota; Metazoa; Chordata; Mammalia; Artiodactyla; Bovidae.